Long non-coding RNA from Ipomoea nil (Japanese morning glory), 344 nucleotides. RefSeq lists it as uncharacterized. The record is from RefSeq and is a predicted model, not a curated record. The transcript is spliced from 2 exons. NCBI's taxonomy places the organism in Eukaryota, Viridiplantae, Streptophyta, Magnoliopsida, Solanales, Convolvulaceae.
UUUGUUUUUUGUUUUUUGUUUUUUUCCAUUUACCUCAACAUUAGAGUGUAAGCUUUUAAAUGCAGAAAAUAAUAUUUCUAUUAUUUGUAUGCACAUGUCCUCAAAAAACUAUGGCAAUAUUGCAGACGACGGGAACUAAGAUGUCUGGGUAGAGCUACAAAGAAGAGAUACAUACAGUGAACACCUUCUUUGAAGGAUGGUGUAGAGUUGAGACACAUAUCCAAAGCAAAACAGGAACAUGGUGCAAAUCAAAUAGUAAGUGCAAAUUUGAUAAAGCUUGAAUUUAAAACACCAUGUAUGCUUUUGUACCUUUUUUGUUCCUAUAAAAGUUUUCUCAUUCCACA